Molecule: long non-coding RNA, 799 nt
Organism: Vespa mandarinia (Asian giant hornet)
Lineage: Eukaryota; Metazoa; Arthropoda; Insecta; Hymenoptera; Vespidae
Source: RefSeq, a predicted model, not a curated record
UCUUUCUUUCUUUCUUUCUUUCUUCUUUUUUUUCUCUUUUUUUUUUUUCUUCGUACCAUACGGUUUGUCUGUUGUAUCUAUGUAUAUCCGUCGCUUUUUCACAUUCGAUCUAUAUCGCGCGCACACUUUUUUAAUAACUAUUCUAAUUCCCGUCAUUGUUGCCGUGACAAUCAAGCGACUUUUUAACUCGUUCUACGUAUUCGGAAGUAGCCGAAACAACAACAACAACAACAUCAACAACAACAACCAGAACCACAACAAAACACAAAAACCACGAUAACAACAACAGUAAAAAGAAAAGAAAAAAAAAAAGUAAGAAAAAGAAAAUAGAAAAGAUUAAUUCUAAUGAUCGUUGAUCAACCAAUCGUCUUCUUCGUAAACUAUCUUUAAUCCAUAUGUAUAUAUAUAUAUAAAGAGAGAGAGAGAGAGAGAGAGAGACUUUCUCGAUAAAAGAAAAACGAAAAGAAAAAAAAAGAAAAAAAAGAAAAAAAGAAGAAAGAAAAUCAAUUGAAAAUUUCUUCCUCUUAACGAUUAACAUAUCGUGUCUCAUUCACUUUAUCAAAUUAGCUAUAGCGAAGGGCCUAUAUUGUCACUGUUAUUGUCAAUACUUUCGCUAAAAUAAUAAUUAUUCUCAACGGGGCACUGACAACGUUACAACAAUAAUUAUUCUCUAAUAAUGUCACAUCUAAUGUUAGCCGAACGUUUCAGCCCCUGUAGAAUGUUUACCCUUUUUACCUGUAUGCAUGUUAUAUGAUAACGGAUCUAAACGAAAAAGAAAAAAAAAAAAAAAAAGAAAAAA